AGUGAACGCUGGCGGUAGGCCUAACACAUGCAAGUCGAACGGCAGCACAGUAAGAGCUUGCUCUUACGGGUGGCGAGUGGCGGACGGGUGAGGAAUAUAUCGGAAUCUACUUUUUCGUGGGGGAUAACGUAGGGAAACUUACGCUCAUACCGCAUACGACCUACGGGUGAAAGCAGGGGAUCUUCGGACCUUGCGCGAUUGAAUUAGCCGAUGUCGGAUUAGCUAGUUGGCGGGGUAAAGGCCCACCAAGGCGACGAUCCGUAGCUGGUCUGAGAGGAUGAUCAGCCACACUGGAACUGAGACACGGUCCAGACUCCUACGGGAGGCAGCAGUGGGGAAUAUUGGACAAUGGGCGCAAGCCUGAUCCAGCCAGACCGCGUGGGUGAAGAAGGCCUUCGGGUUGUAAAGCCCUUUUGUUGGGAAAGAAAAGCAGCAGGUUAAUACCCCGCUGUUCUGACGGUACCCAAAGAAUAAGCACCGGCUAACUUCGUG
This 492-nucleotide ribosomal RNA is filed under the name uncultured bacterium. RNAcentral describes it as "partial 16S ribosomal RNA". It matches the Rfam family "Bacterial small subunit ribosomal RNA", at positions 29 to 507 of the family's 1533-position model. The record is from RNAcentral.